CUGGGGAGGGCCCAUGGCUCAGUGGCUGAGUACCUGUUUUGUAUUCAGGAAAUCCUAGGUUCGAAUCCUGGCAUCUCUAGG
RNAcentral lists this transfer RNA (81 nucleotides) under Sphaerodactylus townsendi. RNAcentral describes it as "tRNA-Thr". The stretch from base 15 to 71 matches the Rfam family "tRNA", at positions 8 to 63 of the family's 71-position model. Rfam says of the family: Transfer RNA (tRNA) molecules are approximately 80 nucleotides in length. Their secondary structure includes four short double-helical elements and three loops (D, anti-codon, and T loops). Lineage: Eukaryota; Metazoa; Chordata; Lepidosauria; Squamata; Sphaerodactylidae. The record is from RNAcentral.